CGGCGGACGGGUGAGUAAUGUAUGGGGAUCUGCCUGAUGGCGGGGGAUAACUACUGGAAACGGUAGCUAAUACCGCAUAAUGUCUACGGACCAAAGCGGGGGACCUCCGGGCCUCGCGCCAUCGGAUGAACCCAUAUGGGAUUAGCUUGUAGGUAAGGUAACGGCUUACCUAGGCGACGAUCCCUAGCUGGUCUGAGAGGAUGAUCAGCCACACUGGGACUGAGACACGGCCCAG
This 235-nucleotide ribosomal RNA is filed under the name uncultured bacterium. Its description in RNAcentral is "partial 16S ribosomal RNA". It matches the Rfam family "Bacterial small subunit ribosomal RNA", at positions 96 to 334 of the family's 1533-position model. The record is from RNAcentral.